RNAcentral lists this long non-coding RNA (819 nucleotides) under Fukomys damarensis (Damara mole-rat). RNAcentral describes it as "lncRNA (ENSFDAG00000024952.1)". The record is from RNAcentral. Lineage: Eukaryota; Metazoa; Chordata; Mammalia; Rodentia; Bathyergidae.
AUGCUACUUGAGCAGAUAAGAAAGAAGUCAUCACAUAACAAGGCCGCUUCGGGAAUACAGAUGCUUCCCAACACGGACUUCUGGAAUUCCAGAGAAGAUACUGCAGGGAUGUUCCAUCACUCUUGUUUCACAGCAGGUCUCCGGGUUUCAGAGCUGUACCACCCAACAUGGUUACUCCGUCUGCAGAGUGAAGAAUAAACUUGGGGCUAGGCAGCAACUGAAGACGAAGUAAACCAAACAAGACAAGACGUGUGGCCAGAGGUCAACGGCAGUACAGAGGUGAGAACUCGCACAGUAGAGACUCGCUCCUUGGGCUCGGUUCUGGUAAGAUGUUCUGCUCUGGGAGGAAGAAGCAAGACUGCAUGAAGACCAGGGUUCUUGAGUCACACUACCUGGGUUCAAACCCUGGGAACUUUGCGUCUGUGCCUCAUUUUUUUCAUCUGCAGAAUGAGAAGAUAAAGCUCACUGUACCUCAAAUAUAGGGAGGAGUAAUCAAGAUCAUUCAUUUAAAAGACUAGGGUAAUGGUUGGAUAUAUAAACAUUACUGUUCUAUUAUUGUUGUUUCUAUUAUUAGUGUUAGUUAUAAUAGAAAAAAUGAGUCAGGCAAGUCUCCUGAUUCUGGUUUGAGGCAAAUUAUUUCAGAAUAAAGCAACAGAGAAGAAUAAUUAGCAGAUUUCUUAAGUACAGUUUGAGUUAUAUAUCACAUUUUUGCCACAUACAGUGACUAGGAAAAUGUUUCUAUGGAAAUACAGGAAAUACAUUUUCCAAAUCUCAUUUUAUUUCCAGAAUCUCAGCUCAAUAACCCUACCUUGACACCAC